AAAAACACGAUGACACAAAUUUGAACGAUGGCGCAAUUUCGACCGUUGCCCUUUCCGUAGGGCGAAUGAACUUUCACGCGCGAAUUCGGAAUGGCGCGUAAGAUGAUUUGCACCUUGCUCGUGAUGCGGAGCGUACCGAAUAUACUGAUGCUCUUGAUGCAGAGCGAAGAAAGAAACAAUUCACACACUAAUCCGUAUCUAUCCGGUUCGAAGGACCAAAAAUGUGAGAAACCUCACGAAACCAGUCGUGCGAGAUUGUUUCUUUCGCAAAAUCUUUCCGGAUUCCUUUUAAUACGUGUAACGCGCGCGAUGAUCGGUUAGCUACUGUGUAUUCAUUUGUCCUUAAGUUCAUUUACAUCGAGUUCAUUUCCUAAUCCUAAUAGUUCAUUAAUCAUUGCCCUCGAUCGGUAGUCAUAAUUACUCCUCUAGUGCAGUUUUUAGCUAAGGUCUAUAUUGCAUGUAAAUAUCCGUGAAAUAUUUCAACUUAAUUUUAAUUAAUUCAGAUAAAUCUCAACAGGUGUCUUGGCUAAUGUGUCUUGGCUAAUGUGUUUUUGCUAAGGUGUCUUGGCUAAUGUGUCUUGGCUAAUGUGUCUUGGCUGUGGUGUCUCGGCUAAGGUGUCUUGGCUAAAGUAUCUUGGCUAAGGUGUCUUGGCUAAUGUGUCUUGGCUAAGGUGUCUUGGCUAAUGUGUCUUAGCUAAUGUGUCUUGGCUAAGGUGUCUUGGCUAAGGUGUCUUGGCUAAGGUGUCUUGGCUAAUGUGUCUUGGCUAAGGUGUCUUGGCUGAUGUGUCUUGGCUAAUGUGUCUUGGCUAAGGUGUCUUGGCUAAUGCGUCUUGGCUAAUGUGUCUUGGCUAAGGUGUCUUGGCUAAAGUGUCUUGGCUAAGGUGUCUUGUUUAAUGUGUCUUGGCUUAUGUGUCUUGGCUAAGGUGUCUUGGCUAAUGUGUCUUGGCUAAUGUGUCUUGGCUAAUGUGUCUUGGCUAAGGUGUCUUGGCUAAUGUGUCUUGACUAAGGUGUCUUGGCUAAUGUGUCUUGGCUAAUGUGUCUUGGCUAAGGUGUCUUGGCUAAGGUGUCUUGGGUAAGGUGUCUUGGCUAAUGUGUCUCGGCUGAGGUGUCUUGGCUAAGGUGUCUUGGCUAAUGUGUCUUGGCUAAUGUGUCUUGGCUAAGGUGUCUUGGCUAAGGUGUCUUGGCUAAUGUGUCUCGGCUAAAGUGUCUUGGCUAAGGUGUCUUGGCUAAUGUGUCUUGGCUAAGGUGUCUUGGCUAAGGUGUCUUGGCUAAGGUGUUUUGGCUAAGGUGUCUUGGCUAAUGUGUCUUGGCUAAGGUGUCUUGGCUAAGGUGUCUUGGCUAAAGUGUCUUGGCUAAGGUGUCUUGGCUAAUGUGUCUCGGCUAAGGUGUCUUGGCUAAUGUGUCUUGGCUAAUGUGUCUUGGCUAAAGUGUCUUGGCUAAGGUGUCUUGGCUAAUGUGUCUCGGCUAAGGUGUCUUGGCUAAGGUGUCUUGGCUAAGGUGUCUUGGCUAAGGUGUCUCGGCUAAUGUGUCUUGGCUAAGGUGUCUUAGCUAAGGUGUCUUGGCUAAUGUGUUUUGGCUAAGGUGUCUUGGCUAAUGUGUCUUGGCUAAGGUGUCUUGGCUAAGGUGUCUUGGCUAAAGUGUCUUGGCUAAGGUGUCUUGGCUAAGGUGUCUUGGCUAAGGUGUCUUGGCUAAAGUGUCUUGGCUAAGGUGUCUUGGCUAAUGUGUCUUGGCUAAUGUGUCUUGGCUAAGGUGUCUCGGCUAAUGUGUCUUGGCUAAGGUGUCUUGGCUAAUGUGUCUUGGCUAAUGUGUCUUGGCUAAGGUGUCUUGGCUAAUGUGUCUUGGCUAAGGUGUCUUGGCUAAUGUGUCUUGGCUAAUGUGUCUUGGCUAAUGUGUCUUGGCUAAUGUGUCUUGGCUAAUGUGUCUUGGCUAUGGUGUCUUGGCUAAGGUGUCUUGGCUAAGGUGUCUUGGCUAAGGUGUCUUGGCUAAGGUGUCUUGGCUAAUGUGUCUUGGCUAAUGUGUCUUGGCUAAUGUGUCUUGGCUAAUGUGUCUCGGCUAAGGUGUCUUGGCUAAUGUGUCUUGGCUAAGGUGUCUUGGCUAAGGUGUCUUGGCUAAUGUGUCUUGGCUAAUGUGUCUUGGCUAAGGUGUCUUGGCUAAGGUGUCUUGGCUAAGGUGUCUUGGCUAAUGUGUCUUGGCUAAGGUGUCUUGGCUAAUGUGUCUUGGCUAAUGUGUCUUGGCUAAGGUGUCUUGGCUAAUGUAUCUUGGCUAAGGUGUCUUGGCUAAUGUGUCUUGGCUAAUGUGUCUUGGCUAAUGUGUCUUGGCUAAGGUGUCUUGGCUAAUGUGUCUUGGCUAAUGUGUCUUGGCUAAAGUGUCUUGGCUAAGGUGUCUUGGCUAAGGUGUCUUGGCUAAUGUGUCUUGGCUAAGGUGUCUUGGCUAAGGUGUCUUGGCUAAUGUGUCUUGGCUAAGGUGUCUUGGCUAAUGUGUCUUGGCUAAUGUGUCUUGGCUAAGGUGUCUUGGCUAAUGUGUCUUGGCUAAGGUGUCUUGGCUAAUGUGUCUUGGCUAAUGUGUCUUGGCUAAUGUGUCUUGGCUAAUGUGUCUUGGCUAAUGUGUCUUGGCUAUGGUGUCUUGGCUAAGGUGUCUUGGCUAAGGUGUCUUGGCUAAGGUGUCUUGGCUAAGGUGUCUUGGCUAAUGUGUCUUGGCUAAUGUGUCUUGGCUAAUGUGUCUUGGCUAAGGUGUCUUGGCUAAGGUGUCUUGGCUAAUGUGUCUUGGCUAAGGUGUCUUGGCUAAUGUGUCUUGGCUAAUGUGUCUUGGCUAAUGUGUCUUGGCUAAGGUGUCUUGGCUAAUGUGUCUCGGCUAAUGUGUCUUGGCUAAUGUGUCUUGGCUAAUGUGUCUUGGCUAAUGUGUCUUGGCUAAUGUGUCUUGGCUAAUGUGUCUUGGCUAAUGUGUCUUGGCUAAUGUGUCUCGGCUAAUGUGUCUCGGCUAAUGUGUCUUGGCUAAGGUGUCUUGGCUAAGGUGUCUUGGCUAAUGUGUUUUGCUAAGGUGUCUUGGCUAAGGUGUCUUGGCUAAUGUGUCUUGGCUAAUGUGUCUUGGCUAAGGUGUCUUGGCUAAUGUGUCUUGGCUAAUGUGUCUUGGCUAAUGUGUCUUGGCUAAUGUGUCUCGGCUAAUGUGUCUUGGCUAAGGUGUCUUGGCUAAGGUGUCUUGGCUAAUGUGUCUUGGCUAAUGUGUCUUGGCUAAUGUGUCUUGGCUAAUGUGUCUCGGCUAAUGUGUCUCGGCUAAGGUGUCUUGGCUAAUGUGUCUUGGCUAAUGUGUCUUGGCUAAUGUGUCUUGGCUAAGGUGUCUUGGCUAAGGUGUCUCGGCUAAUGUGUCUUGGCUAAGGUGUCUUGGCUAAUGUGUCUUGGCUAAUGUGUCUUGGCUAAGGUGUCUUGGCUAAUGUGUCUUGGCUAAGGUGUCUUGGCUAAUGUGUCUUGGCUAAUGUGUCUUGGCUAAUGUGUCUUGGCUAAUGUGUCUUGGCUAAUGUGUCUUGGCUAUGGUGUCUUGGCUAAGGUGUCUUGGCUAAGGUGUCUUGGCUAAGGUGUCUUGGCUAAGGUGUCUUGGCUAAUGUGUCUUGGCUAAUGUGUCUUGGCUAAUGUGUCUUGGCUAAUGUGUCUCGGCUAAGGUGUCUUGGCUAAUGUGUCUUGGCUAAGGUGUCUUGGCUAAGGUGUCUUGGCUAAUGUGUCUUGGCUAAUGUGUCUUGGCUAAGGUGUCUUGGCUAAGGUGUCUUGGCUAAGGUGUCUUGGCUAAUGUAUCUUGGCUAAGGUGUCUUGGCUAAUGUGUCUUGGCUAAUGUGUCUUGGCUAAUGUGUCUUGGCUAAGGUGUCUUGGCUAAUGUGUCUUGGCUAAUGUGUCUUGGCUAAAGUGUCUUGGCUAAGGUGUCUUGGCUAAGGUGUCUUGGCUAAUGUGUCUUGGCUAAGGUGUCUUGGCUAAGGUGUCUUGGCUAAUGUGUCUUGGCUAAGGUGUCUUGGCUAAGGUGUCUUGGCUAAUGUGUCUUGGCUAAGGUGUCUCGGCUAAUGUGUCUUGGCUAAUGUGUCUUGGCUAAUGUGUC
This is a long non-coding RNA of Anopheles funestus (African malaria mosquito), 4077 nucleotides long. RefSeq lists it as uncharacterized. Lineage: Eukaryota; Metazoa; Arthropoda; Insecta; Diptera; Culicidae. The transcript is spliced from 5 exons. The record is from RefSeq and is a predicted model, not a curated record.